Molecule: ribosomal RNA, 279 nt
Filed under: uncultured bacterium
Lineage: Bacteria
Description: partial 16S ribosomal RNA
Rfam family: Bacterial small subunit ribosomal RNA
Source: RNAcentral
ACUCCUACGGGAGGCAGCAGUGGGGAAUAUUGGACAAUGGGACCGGAGCUCAGCCAGCCGCGCUGUGUGAAGAAGGCCUUAUGGUUGUAAAGCACUUUAAGCGAGGAGGAGGCUACUUUAGUUAAUACCUAGAGAUAGUGGACGUUACUCGCAGAAUAAGCACCGGCUAACUCUGUGCCAGCAGCCGCGGUAAUACAGAGGGUGCGAGCGUUAAUCGGAUUUACUGGGCGUAAAGCGUGCGUAGGCGGCUUAUUAAGUCGGAUGUGAAAUCCCCGCAGC